GACGAACGCUGGCGGCGUGCUUAACACAUGCAAGUCGAACGGAAAGGCGCUGCUUUUGUGGGGGGCUCGAGUGGAGAACGGGGGGGUAACAAGUGAGUAAUCUGCCCUUAACAUCGGGCUAACUUCAGGGAACUGGGGCUGAUACCGGGUAGGAGAUACUGCUGAAUGGUGUGGGUUGGCAAGUUUCGACGGUUGGGGAUGGAUUCGCCGCGUAUCAGCUUGGUGGUGGGGUAGUGGCUUACCAAGGCACUGACGGGUAGGGGGACCGUUAGGGGGAGCUGCCACAUUGGGUCGGAGAUGCGACCCAGACUCCUACGGGACGCAGCAGAGGAGAAUAGUGCACAAUGGGCGGAAGCCUGACGUAACGACGCGGCGUGGGGGAAACGAGCAUUCGAUUUGUAACCCACUUUCGCGUGUUAUGAAGAGUGAGUGACGGUAAUAUGGAAGAAAGCACCGGCUAACUACGUG
This 468-nucleotide ribosomal RNA is filed under the name uncultured bacterium. RNAcentral describes it as "partial 16S ribosomal RNA". It matches the Rfam family "Bacterial small subunit ribosomal RNA", at positions 28 to 507 of the family's 1533-position model. The record is from RNAcentral.